GUGCUUGCUUUGGCAGCACAUACUAAAAUUGAAAUGAUACAUAAAAAAAUUAGCAUGGCCCCUGAGCAAGGAUGACAUGCAAAUUUAUAUAGCAUUCCAUAUUUUU
Molecule: small nuclear RNA, 106 nt
Organism: Otolemur garnettii (small-eared galago)
Lineage: Eukaryota; Metazoa; Chordata; Mammalia; Primates; Galagidae
Source: Ensembl